This 507-nucleotide ribosomal RNA is filed under the name Scatopsciara atomaria. RNAcentral's name for it is "partial 16S ribosomal RNA". Lineage: Eukaryota; Metazoa; Arthropoda; Insecta; Diptera; Sciaridae. The record is from RNAcentral.
GUCUUUUAGAAUUUUAUUUAAAGUCUAACCUGCCCAUUGAAUAAUUUAAAAGGCUCGCGGUAUUUUGACCGUACAAAGGUAGCAUAGUCAUUAGUUUCUUAAUUGGGAACUUGUAUGAAUGGUUGAAUGAAAAAUUAACUUUUUUAUUUUAAGUGAAGAACUUUACUUUUUAAUCAAAAGGUUAAAAUGUAUUUAAAAGACGAGAAGACCCUAUAGAGUUUGAUAAUUUUUAUUUUAUUUUUAAUAAAGUUUAAUUAUAAUUUUAUUUUAAAAAUUAUUUUAUUGGGGUGAUAGUAUAAUUUAAUUAACUUAUAUUUAUUAUGUACAUUAAUAUAUGAUUUAUUGAUCCAUUAUUAAUGAUUAAAAGUUUAAAUUACCUUAGGGAUAACAGCGUAAUUUUUUUUUAAGUUCAUAUUAAUAAAAAAUUUUGCGACCUCGAUGUUGGAUUAAGAUUUAAUUUUAGGUGCAGCAGUUUAAAGUUUAAGUCUGUUCGACUUUUAAAUUCUU